RNAcentral lists this ribosomal RNA (400 nucleotides) under uncultured bacterium. Its description in RNAcentral is "bacterial SSU rRNA". It matches the Rfam family "Bacterial small subunit ribosomal RNA", at positions 137 to 518 of the family's 1533-position model. The record is from RNAcentral.
CCCGGGAUAGCCCAGGGAAACCUGGAUUAAUACCGGAUGAGACGGGACCCGCGAUGGCGGGAUCCGGGAAAGGCGCUGCGGCGCCGGCCGGGGGAUGAGUCUGCGUCCCAUUAGCUAGACGGCGGGGUAACGGCCCACCGUGGCGACGAUGGGUAGCCGGCCUGAGAGGGUGGACGGCCACAUUGGAACUGAGACACGGUCCAGACUCCUACGGGAGGCAGCAGCUAAGAAUCCUUCCGCAAGUGGGACGAAAGCCUGACGGAGCGACGCCCGCGUGAACGAAGAAGGCCGUGAGGUUAGUAAAGUUCGUUUCGGGAGGGGGAACAACCGUGGCAGGGAAUGGCCGCGGGAUGACGUGAAUCCCGGAAUAAGCCCCGGCUAACUACGUGCCAGCAGCAGC